Molecule: microRNA precursor, 76 nt
Filed under: Colobus angolensis palliatus
Lineage: Eukaryota; Metazoa; Chordata; Mammalia; Primates; Cercopithecidae
Description: miRNA (ENSCANG00000014320.1)
Source: RNAcentral
GGUUGGUGCAAAAGUAAUUGUGGUUUUUGCCAUGAAAAGUAAUGGUAAAACCACAAUUACUUUUGCACCAACCUAA